Molecule: ribosomal RNA, 425 nt
Filed under: uncultured bacterium
Lineage: Bacteria
Description: bacterial SSU rRNA
Rfam family: Bacterial small subunit ribosomal RNA
Source: RNAcentral
GUGGGGAAUAUUGCACAAUGGGGGAAACCCUGAUGCAGCGAUGCCGCGUGGAGGAAGAAGGUUUUCGGAUUGUAAACUCCUUUUAUCAGGGACGAUAAUGACGGUACCUGAAGAAAAAGCUCCGGCUAACUACGUGCCAGCAGCCGCGGUAAUACGUAGGGAGCGAGCGUUGUCCGGAAUUACUGGGUGUAAAGGGAGCGUAGGCGGGACGGUAAGUCAGAUGUGAAAUAUACGUGCUCAACAUGUAGACUGCAUUUGAAACUGCUGUUCUUGAGUGAAGUAGAGGUAAGCGGAAUUCCUAGUGUAGCGGUGAAAUGCGUAGAUAUUAGGAGGAACAUCGGUGGCGAAGGCGGCUUACUGGGCUUUUACUGACGCUGAGGCUCGAAAGCGUGGGGAGCAAACAGGAUUAGAAACCCUAGUAGUCC